This 66-nucleotide transfer RNA is filed under the name Holotrichia oblita. Its description in RNAcentral is "tRNA-Asp". The record is from RNAcentral. Lineage: Eukaryota; Metazoa; Arthropoda; Insecta; Coleoptera; Scarabaeidae.
AAAAAUUUAGUUAAACUAUAACAUUAGCUUGUCGAGCUAAAAUUACUACCUAUUUAGUAAUUUUUA